Molecule: long non-coding RNA, 2338 nt
Organism: Prinia subflava (tawny-flanked prinia)
Lineage: Eukaryota; Metazoa; Chordata; Aves; Passeriformes; Cisticolidae
Exons: 3
Source: RefSeq, a predicted model, not a curated record
GCUCAGUCUCUGAAUUCGGGCACCAGGUGAAGCCGAGCUCUGGUGAGACCGGGGACUAGAGCGACGUGAGACCAACCAGACUCCUGGUCAUGACUCCUCCAGAUCCCAGCCAUAGGUUUGGGGUCCUGGCUGUGGGCUUGGGGUACCAGCCAUGGGCUUGAGGUCCUGGCUGGGGGCUCAGGGUUCUGUGCCCAUCCUUGCUGGGAGCCCCAGCCCCAGUCUCCGUCCUCAGGCGUGCUGCCUGUGUGCCACCCACUCUUCACCCUGGUCACAGAGAAUCUGAGCUGCUGCUUCCCCUCCACAACCAUCUCUGCUGCAUCAGCAAGUCCCACAGCCAGGUCAUGAUGUCCAGAAUCAGGUUCUUCUUCUCCAGCUAGUGUGGACUGGGACAGUCCCACCAUUUCCAGCUGCUGAACGACUGGGCCAGCCCUGUCCUGGACUACCUUGUCAUUGAUUAUUCCUUUGCCCAAGUGAGCCCUGCCAGGCUGCCUCCUCCUUCUCCCCCUCCUUCUCCUCUUCCUCCUUCUCCUCCUUCUCCUCCUUCUCCUCUUUCUCCUCUUUCUCCUCUUUCUCCUCCUCCUCCUCAUGCAGUACCCACUGGUGCCUGCAGGAUUUGGAUCCUCUUACCUGGCUCACCUGGAGCUGCUUGUGGGACUCCCACAGUGGGCGCAGGGCACCCCAGAUUGCCAAGAUGGGUGCUGUGUCACACCCUUGGGACAGUCUGGCAUCCAUCAGGACAGUCUGGCAGCCACUGGACAGCCUGGCACCCAUGAGGACAGUGUGAUAUCCAUGGGGACAGCCUGGCACCUGCUGGAACAGACUGAAACACAUGGAGACAGAGUGACACCCAUGGGCACAGCCUGGAACCUAUCAGGACUGCCUGGAACCCAUAGGGAUAGCUUAGCACCCCUGGGGACAGCCUAGAACCCAUGGGGACGGAGUGACACUGCAAUAGCCCAGAAGCCGUAGGGACCACCAGGCACCCCUGGGGCUAGUCUGGCAUCCAUGAAAACAGCCUAGUACACCUGGGGACAGCCUGGGAUCCAUAGGGACACCCUGUCAUCCGCUGGGAGAGCCUGACACCCACGGGGACAUUCUGGCAUCCCUAGGGACAACCUGGGCACCCUUGGUGACAGCCCGACAUCCCUGGAGACACCCCACCACUCACCUGUGCCUCCCGUCUCCAGUGCCGCUCUGGAGCCAGAUCCAGAGGCACAACUUCCUCCUCCUCCAGCGCCUCCACCACCGCUGCAGUAAAUCCCUGUGGGAGUUUGAGGGCUGCUGCAGGGACAGGCCCCACCUGAAGCUGCAGUCCCUGCUGGACCUAGAGUGGCUCCAGUGCCUUCGCAGCGAGGAGACUGCAUGUGCCCUGCCCGGGAUCCUGGCACAGACAUGGCCGUUGCUGGAGAGCGCGGCGUGUCCUGGAGCUGCAGUGGCUCGGAGGUGCUGGUGGUGGCAGUAGCGGGGGUCCCACGCAAUAGGGAGCUGGGUGGCGGCAGUGUCCCCACAGAAGCGCUACCACUUGUGCGACAUCCCCGUCAUCAGCACCUAGCAGGCGGGCGAGCCAGGAGGGCGGCUCCUUGGAGAACCGGCUCGUCACCCUCCCCAAGGCGGACAGCUGGGUGCUGGGGAGCUGGGGGUGUUUGGGGAGCCCUCGGGAGUUCAGGGGGGACAUGGGGCUGCCGCCCCCCCUGGCGCAGAAGGGGGAGUGCCCCAGGCUGCGAGAUGUUCGUUCCUUCGUGCCUCUCCUCAAUGGUCACUCCCUGUUGGAGUCCAGGAUAUCCCUCUGGCCGCCCUGGAGGGUUUGAAGACUGUACAGGAGGGUUUGGAGACUGUACAGGGGGGUCUGGGAUCUGAGCAGGGGGGUCAGUUAGACCCACACGGAUCCCAGGAGGACACUGCCUCUGAUUCCUGUCCAUGGGAGUGAACACUCACAUGCAGGAAGAAUCACAAAUCCUAAGAAUUUGAAAUAAGUAGUGGAUGGUUUAUUAUAGAAUAUAAAUAUAGAAAUUAGGAUUCUUAGUAUAUGGGGCUGAAGAAGCAAGAUGGAGGAAUUGGGGAGUGGCCCCUGUCUUCCUUGUUCUUGCUCUCAUCUCCCAUCUUGUGCUGAGUUGGGUUUUAGAGAUUGGCUUAGAGUAGAACUGACAUGUUAGCAUAGGUUGUAGGUAUUGGUAAAAUUUUGUAAAUAAAAAAUACGUCUCGGACAGUGGUUGGGUCAAGGUUGCCGUACUUAAGGUGCGGGGCUCUCUGAUCUGCCCCAGUCCAGCCACGUGUCUUGCUUUGCUGGGGAUGCCUUGCAAAGCUGGACAAGAACUGAUAGAUAAUUAAGAAUAAACAG